UGAAACAAUUAACAAAAUAGAUAAAUCACUACCCUUUUAAUCAAGAUAAAAAGGAAAAGGAACACAAAUAUACAGAAUAAGAUGACCAGGGAGAAAUAAUUAUUAGUAUAGAGGAAAUUUCUGAAAUCAUUUGAGAAUAUUUUGUACUUCUCUAAUCAAAAAGAAUUAGAGAACUUAGAUGAAAUGGACAUAAUUAUUUUGGAAAAUGUACUUCACUGAAAUUGAUCCCAGUAGAGGUUUAAAAAAAAAAAGAUUUAGACCAGUUUCUGUAGAAGAAAAAAGAAGUCUGUCAAGGAGCUCCCACACAAAAAAUGCACUGGGCCCAAGUGAUUUCACGGGAGAAUUCUAUUAAAUCUUCAGAGAUCAGAGAAUCCCAAUGCCAUGCAAAUUGUUUUAGAGCAUAGAAAAUGAUGGAAAACUUCUAAUACUUACUUUUUAAUUAAAAAAAACCUUUUUUUA
Non-coding RNA from Ceratotherium simum simum (southern white rhinoceros), 459 nucleotides. NCBI's taxonomy places the organism in Eukaryota, Metazoa, Chordata, Mammalia, Perissodactyla, Rhinocerotidae. The record is from RefSeq and is a predicted model, not a curated record.